This 450-nucleotide ribosomal RNA is filed under the name uncultured bacterium. RNAcentral describes it as "bacterial SSU rRNA". It matches the Rfam family "Bacterial small subunit ribosomal RNA", at positions 29 to 524 of the family's 1533-position model. The record is from RNAcentral.
AACGAACGCUGGCGGCAUGCCUAACACAUGCAAGUCGAACGAAGUCUUCGGACUUAGUGGCGCACGGGUGCGUAACGCGUGGGAAUCUGCCCUUGGGUGCGGAAUAACUUCUCGAAAGGGAUGCUAAUACCGCAUAAUGUCGUAAGACCAAAGAUUUAUCGCCCAAGGAUGAGCCCGCGUAAGAUUAGCUAGUUGGUGGGGUAAAAGCCUACCAAGGCGACGAUCUUUAGCUGGUCUGAGAGGAUGAUCAGCCACACUGGGACUGAGACACGGCCCAGACUCCUACGGGAGGCAGCAGUGGGGAAUAUUGGACAAUGGGCGAAAGCCUGAUCCAGCAAUGCCGCGUGAGUGAUGAAGGCCCUAGGGUUGUAAAGCUCUUUUACCCGGGAUGAUAAUGACAGUACCGGGAGAAUAAGCUCCGGCUAACUCCGUGCCAGCAGCCGCGGUAAU